Molecule: ribosomal RNA, 253 nt
Filed under: uncultured bacterium
Lineage: Bacteria
Description: partial 16S ribosomal RNA
Rfam family: Bacterial small subunit ribosomal RNA
Source: RNAcentral
UACAGAGGGGGCAAGCGUUGUCCGGAUUUAUUGGGCGUAAAGCGCGUGUAGGCGGCCAGAUAGGUCUGCUGUGAAAACUCGAGGCUCAACCUCGAGCUGUCGGCGGAAACCAUCUGGCUAGAGUCCGGAAGAGGAGAGUGGAAUUCCUGGUGUAGCGGUGAAAUGCGCAGAUAUCAGGAGGAACACCUGUGGCGAAAGCGGCUCACUGGACCACAACUGACGCUGAUGCGCGAAAGCUAGGGGAGCAAACAGG